This 309-nucleotide ribosomal RNA is filed under the name uncultured bacterium. RNAcentral's name for it is "bacterial SSU rRNA". It matches the Rfam family "Bacterial small subunit ribosomal RNA", at positions 9 to 322 of the family's 1533-position model. The record is from RNAcentral.
GAGUUUGAUCGUGGCUCAGGACGAACGCUGGCGGCGUGCUUAACACAUGCAAGUCGAACGAGGUGCUUGCACCUAGUGGCGAACGGGUGAGUAACACGUGAGCAACCUGCCCCUGGCUCUGGGAUAGCCUCCGGAAACGGGGAUUAAUACCGGACAUUCACUUUCUUCCGCAUGGUGGAGGGUGGAAAGUUUUUCGGCCAGGGAGGGGCUCGCGGCCUAUCAGCUUGUUGGGGGGGUAACGGCCCGACCCAAGGCGGACGACGGGUAGGCCGGCCGUGAGAGGGCGGACCGGCCGACACUGGGACGUGA